CCUACGGGAGGCAGCAGUGGGGAAUAUUGCACAAUGGGCGCAAGCCUGAUCCAGCCAUGCCGCGUGCAGGAAGACGCAUCUAUGGUGUGUAAACUGCUUUUGUACAGGAAGAAACACUCCCUCGUGAGGGAGCUUGACGGUACUGUAAGAAUAAGGAUCGGCUAACUCCGUGCCAGCAGCCGCGGUAAUACGGAGGAUCCAAGCGUUAUCCGGAAUCAUUGGGUUUAAAGGGUCCGUAGGCGGUUUAAUAAGUCAGUGGUGAAAUCUGGUCGCUCAACGAUCAAACGGCCAUUGAUACUGUUAGACUUGAAUUAUAAGGAAGUAACUAGAAUAUGUAGUGUAGCGGUGAAAUGCUUAGAUAUUACAUGGAAUACCAAUUGCGAAGGCAGGUUACUACUUAUGGAUUGACGCUGAUGGACGAAAGCGUGGGGAGCGAACAGGAUUAGAUACCCUGGUAGUCCACGCCGUAAACGAUGGAUACUAGCUGUUGGGCGCAAGUUCAGUGGCUAAGCGAAAGUGAUAAGUAUCCCACCUGGGGAGUACGUUCGCAAGAAUGAAACUCAAAGGAAUUGACGG
Molecule: ribosomal RNA, 576 nt
Filed under: uncultured bacterium
Lineage: Bacteria
Description: bacterial SSU rRNA
Rfam family: Bacterial small subunit ribosomal RNA
Source: RNAcentral